CUCUUGGGUGACGAGUGGCGGACGGGUGAGUAAUGUCUGGGAAACUGCCUGAAUGGAGGGGGAUAACUACUGGAACGGUAGCUAAUACCGCAUAACGUCGCAAGACCAAAGAGGGGGACCUUCGGGCCUCUUGCCAUCAGAUGUGCCCAGAUGGGAUUAGCUAGUAGGUGGGGUAACGGCUCACCUAGGCGACGAUCCCUAGCUGGUCUGAGAGGAUGACCAGCCACACUGGAACUGAGACACGGUCCAGACUCCUACGGGAGGCAGCAGUGGGGAAUAUUGCACAAUGGGCGCAAGCCUGAUGCAGCCAUGCCGCGUGUAUGAAGAAGGCCUUCGGUUGUAAAGUACUUUCAGCGAGGAGGAAGGCGAUGCGGUUAAUAACCGUGUCGAUUGACGUUACUCGCAGAAGAAGCACCGGCUAACUCCGUG
This 429-nucleotide ribosomal RNA is filed under the name uncultured bacterium. RNAcentral describes it as "bacterial SSU rRNA". It matches the Rfam family "Bacterial small subunit ribosomal RNA", at positions 81 to 507 of the family's 1533-position model. The record is from RNAcentral.